Long non-coding RNA from Ailuropoda melanoleuca (giant panda), 464 nucleotides. RefSeq lists it as uncharacterized. Lineage: Eukaryota; Metazoa; Chordata; Mammalia; Carnivora; Ursidae. The transcript has 3 exons. The record is from RefSeq and is a predicted model, not a curated record.
GGGAAGGAAGGAAGACGGUUAACCCGCCGCACCGGGCGGCCCAUCCUCAGCGAAAGCCCGGAGACAAGCCCAUCCCCUCCCGGCAGGUGUUGACAAACUUAAUAGUGCCAUUUUGCCGAAGAAAAAGCUGAGUCUCUCCCAAUAUGUAGAAGACUCCCCGUGUGUGAAGUCCACAGCAGAGGAAGGCGGGCCAAUCCACUUUAAUUACACGAGUCUUAACGGAUACACCGAAUCACGCUCUAUCAAAAUAUCCUGCUGGAGAAGUUGACCAAUUACAUGCAAAUACACGGGAAGCUGACGGACGCGCGUGGGCCCCGGCGGAGCCAGGACCCGCGGGAAGCCCCCACCACACCAGGCCUCGGCUCCCCGACGCCUCUCGGCCUCCUUCUCCUGCCCUCACUCAUCUUCUGGAAAGGAAACCCGGGUGCAGCUGAGAAGCCUGCCUCUCCGCCUGGGCGGCAGCA